CAAACUGGGAUUAGAUACCCCACUAUGCUUAGCCUUAAACCCAGAUGUAUUAUUACACACACAUCCGCCCGGGUACUACGAGCACAGCUUAAAACCCAAAGGACUUGGCGGUGUCUCAGACCCACCUAGAGGAGCCUGUUCUAUAACCGAUAACCCCCGUUAAACCUCACCACUUCUUGUUAAUCCCGCCUAUAUACCGCCGUCGUCAGCUUACCCCGUAAGGGCCUAACAGUAAGCAAAAUGGGCCCGCCCAAAAACGUCAGGUCGAGGUGUAGCGUACGAAGUGGGAAGAAAUGGGCUACAUUUUCUACAACUAGAAUAUUAAACGAAUGGCACUAUGAAAAUUACUGCCUGAAGGUGGAUUUAGUAGUAAAAAGCAAACAGAGUGUCCUUUUGAAUUAGGCUCUGAGACGCGCACACACCGCCCGUCAC
This 432-nucleotide ribosomal RNA is filed under the name Ameiurus sp. KSNBl4. RNAcentral describes it as "partial 12S ribosomal RNA". It matches the Rfam family "Bacterial small subunit ribosomal RNA", at positions 768 to 1400 of the family's 1533-position model. The record is from RNAcentral. Lineage: Eukaryota; Metazoa; Chordata; Actinopteri; Siluriformes; Ictaluridae.